GGGGGGUGUUAUUUCUAGAAACAAUGUAUAUUAAUAGACAAGAUAAUUCACAGAAAAGGAAGGACAGUUGGUCUUGUAGAAAUAUAGGGACAAUUCUAAGGGUAGAUAGAACAUUACACACACCUAGAUUAUGGUAAAAGUAAUAAGUAGUGGCAUUUUGAAGAAGCUUAGGACUUAGUUUUGUUAGGAUUGGAUAUUCUUUCAACUGGAAGACACUUGACUGAGUACAUGUUAUUCUUACAGCAGUUGCUGUAGGGACCAUAACUUGGAUAUCAUUAUGAAUAUUUUUGUGGCAAGAGGUCAGGUAUUUGAGACAGAAUGUUUACAUAACAGAAUGUUUACAUAGGGCUGUUAUUUAAGAAAGUCUGUUGUCAGGAAAUAACCCAUGUGUUAGUAUGUAUGUUUCCAGGAGAAGAGUACAUAAGACGCCAGAUGGAAGGGCAUGGGCUGAAUUCUGGAGACUGAGUGUACAUCAAGAUACACCAGGCUGGGGAUAUACUUCUUACAGCACCUGCAGUGGUAAAGAUCGUCAUGUCUCUCUUUGAUGGGUGCAUAAGUUUCACAAGAAGUAAGGUCCAGCUGAAUAAUGGAAAGAAGGCAGAAACCUGAACCAGGACGAGAGGUUCCACAUCUGAUGAUCCAAGGAGACCAGAAGGCCCUCUCCCAGUGAUACCAGGAGAUCCAGUCUACGGUCGAGUGUUCCGAAGGAAGUGGGAUCAGCCGAGGAGAGAAGGACCCUACGAGGUGGCAACGGCCACAAUCACGGCCGUCCAAGUGAAAGGAAGCAAGACGUGGUAUCAUCUAAACCACUGCACCCGAGUCCCGACGGAGAGAAGGACACAACCAUACAGAGAUGAGGACACAGAGGAUGCUGAUUCACCAGAGGGGACCCCGGAGGGAGCAGGAGCAGAGGAAUCGAUCAAAGCCCCGGGGAGGACUCAAGAAAAUGGCAGACCAGAUACAACGAGUGCAUCAGCUAACACACUCAGAAGAAGCACCAGGGGAAAAGAGCCUGAAAAGAAAAGAGCCUGAAAAGAAAAGAGACAAACGACCAAAGUUUCCUCCAGUAUGGCCAGAAAGCCCAGAAGUGGGAGGGGGUAACAUGUCUGCCACUCCUGAUGAUAUACCUGUUGGGGCAGGCCUCUUUGACAGAAGCACUCUACAGAGGGGCUCCGAGGUAUUGCCUAAAGAAUGGGAACAUCUCUUCCCUGAAAUGGACACCUUCCAAAUGGAAGCCCAGUCCGGCCUGAGGAGGGAGCUUCAGGGGAGGAAAGAAGGAGAGACCCCACUAACGAGAAGGAAAAGUCGAGUGAGCUGAAGAAAAUGGCAAUUUCCCCAAAAAUUGACUUUUCAGCUCUUACCUGAUCUCCAUAAUGAACCAUUGGAAUUAGGACCACGAAAGAACAGUGACAAUGACAGAAUAAGAGCGACUGAGGACAAUACGAAGAUGAUGCACGCACUCACAAUCAAGAUAAAAGAUAAAAGCAGGAAGAGAAGAGAGGAGCCUGUCGAACGAGGUAAAAAGACAGGACCUGUUGAUAGGUUUAAAUUUCAUGUUCCCUCACAACUUCUAACAGAACCAGGGGAACAGAGGACAGGUUCUGUAUGGAAGAAGAAACCUGUACCGGAGGAGCCACUCUGUGGAUGGACGCGUCAUAUAACAAAGGGAGAAGCUGUUUGGGACCUCAAAGGAUGUGACCUGACACUAACCAAAUAUGUGAAAGGCUGGGAGUUUAUCAUGAACAAGAUGACACCAGCAGAAGGUGAAGAAUUUGAAAUUGAAAUAACAAGAACAGGACUGAGUGAAGGAAACAGUUACGAAUAUGUUAAAUUGGGUCCUAUGCCAGCACCUGAACAAAAAACGAUUUGCCACUACACUAGGGAGACAGAGAGAGGUGGUAACCACACAGAGACACAGAGAGAGAGAGAUGACACCUCCUAGGGAGACAGAGAGAGGUGGUAACCACACAUCACAGACACAGAGAGAGAGAUGAUGACACCUCCUAGGGAGAGAGAG
Long non-coding RNA from Oncorhynchus tshawytscha (Chinook salmon), 2017 nucleotides. The record is from Ensembl. Lineage: Eukaryota; Metazoa; Chordata; Actinopteri; Salmoniformes; Salmonidae.